GACGAACGCUGGCGGCGUGCUUAACACAUGCAAGUCGAACGGAAAGGCCCUGCUUUUGUGGGGUGCUCGAGUGGCGAACGGGUGAGUAACACGUGAGUAACCUGCCCUUGACUUUGGGAUAACUUCAGGAAACUGGGGCUAAUACCGGAUAGGAGCUCCUGCUGCAUGGUGGGGGUUGGAAAGUUUCGGCGGUUGGGGAUGGACUCGCGGCUUAUCAGCUUGUUGGUGGGGUAGUGGCUUACCAAGGCCUUGACGGGUAGCCGGCCUGAGAGGGUGACCGGCCACAUUGGGACUGAGAUACGGCACAGACUCCUACGGGAGGCAGCAGUGGGGAAUAGUGCACAAUGGGCGGAAGCCUGAUGCAGCAACGCCGCGUGCGGGAUGACGGCCUUCGGGUUGUAAACCGCUUUCGCCUGUGACGAAGCGUGAGUGACGGUAAUGGGUAAAGAAGCACCGGCUAACUACGUG
RNAcentral lists this ribosomal RNA (468 nucleotides) under uncultured bacterium. RNAcentral's name for it is "partial 16S ribosomal RNA". It matches the Rfam family "Bacterial small subunit ribosomal RNA", at positions 28 to 507 of the family's 1533-position model. The record is from RNAcentral.